GUGACAGAAGGAAGGAGGCGACUUCCAUUUAAUGCAAACCUGCAGAGUGUCUAAGUAGAUAUGUGGAUAUCUACAAUAGAACAACAUAUGCUUGGUAAAUAUACAUGAAUAGAUACAGAUCUAAAUAGAUUUGUGGAUAUCUAAAACAAACAAUAGAUGUUUGACAAAAUAUACAUGAAAAAAUAUAGAUCUACAGGGGAAGUUGAAUAUCUAAACUCAGGGAUAAUUAAAAAAUUGCGGAUCUAAAUAGAUUUGUGGAUAUGGAGACGGAAUUUAGUGAGGGAAGCGAGAAAAACACAAAAAAACUAGAUACUAUUUAAUCGUGAAAGCAAUGGAAUGAAAACAAGUACAUGGAAAAACUUUUGAAUUUUGUCGCUUGACAACAUUAAGCUGUCGGAUUAACAGAAAGUGAGCCAAUUUGCUAGAGAAGACAAGUUUGGAGUAGACAUCAAGAAGUUUUCCAAAGUAAGGCCUAAUGGUUUCAUUCUCUUUAGGUGUAAGAGCUUUCAACACAACCUUGAUCGUAUUGAGCUUGAAGUACAUAUUCACCCUAUCGCCAGGAGGUCCUCUCUAUCGGCAAACAAUCGGGAAAGCAGCUCCAGAUCAGCCAUAUUUCUAAACAGUAAAAAAAUUAAACAGUAAGUUAUGUAUCAACAUCAAGUGGGAAUAAAAGAAAAUAAAUAGAUAUCUACAAAAAAA
Molecule: long non-coding RNA, 699 nt
Filed under: Arabidopsis lyrata
Lineage: Eukaryota; Viridiplantae; Streptophyta; Magnoliopsida; Brassicales; Brassicaceae
Description: long non-coding RNA (ALYR_LNC002881)
Source: RNAcentral